Molecule: long non-coding RNA, 1441 nt
Organism: Oncorhynchus tshawytscha (Chinook salmon)
Lineage: Eukaryota; Metazoa; Chordata; Actinopteri; Salmoniformes; Salmonidae
Source: Ensembl
AGGAGACUAUGAGCAGGCCAUCUGGAAUCCACCGAGCAGGCCAUCUGGAAUCAGGAGACCAUGAGCAGGCCAUCUGGAAUCACGAGACCAUGAGCAGGCCAUCUGGAAUCAGGAGACUAUGAGCAGGCCAUCUGGAAUCAGGAGACCAUGAGCAGGCCAUCUGGAAUCAGGAGACCAUGAGCAGGCCAUCUGGAAUCAGGAGACUAUGAGCAGGCCUUCUGGAAUCAGGAGACCAUGAGCAGGCCUUCUGGAAUCAGGAGACCAUGAGCAGGCCUUCUGGAAUCAGGAGACCAUGAGCAGGCCAUCUGGAAUCAGGAGACCGUGAGCAGGCCAUCUGGAAUCAGGAGACCAUGAGCAGGCCUUCUGGAAUCAGGAGACCACCGAGCAGGCCUUCUGGAAUCAGGAGACCACCGAGCAGGCCUUCUGUAAUCAGGAGACCACCGAGCAGGCCAUCUGGAAUCAGGAGACUAUGAGCAGGCCAUCUGGAAUCAGGAGACUAUGAGCAGGCCAUCUGGAAUCAGGAGACCAUGAGCAGGCCAUCUGGAAUCAGGAGACCGUGAGCAGGCCAUCUGGAAUCAGGAGACCAUGAGCAGGCCAUCUGGAAUCAGGAGACCGUGGGCAGGCCAUCUGGAAUCAGGAGACCAUGGGCAGGCCAUCUGGAAUCAGGAGACUAUGAGCAGGCCAUCUGGAAUCAGGAGACCGUGAGCAGGCCAUCUGGAAUCAGGAGACCGUGGGCAGGCCAUCUGGAAUCAGGAGACCAUGGGCAGGCCAUCUGGAAUCAGGAGACUAUGAGCAGGCCAUCUGGAAUCAGGAGACCGUGAGCAGGCCAUCUGGAAUCAGGAGACCGUGAGCAGGCCAUCUGGAAUCCACCGAGAAGGACAUCUGGAAUCAGGAGACCAUGAGCAGGCCAUCUGGAAUCAGGAGACCGUGAGCAGGCCAUCUGGAAUCAGGAGACCAUGAGCAGGCCUUCUGGAAUCAGGAGACCACCGAGCAGGCCUUCUGUAAUCAGGAGACCACCGAGCAGGCCAUCUGGAAUCAGGAGACCACCGAGCAGGCCAUCUGGAAUCAGGAGACUAUGAGCAGGCCAUCUGGAAUCAGGAGACUAUGAGCAGGCCAUCUGGAAUCAGGAGACUAUGAGCAGGCCAUCUGGAAUCAGGAGACCGUGAGCAGGCCAUCUGGAAUCAGGAGACCAUGAGCAGGCCAUCUGGAAUCAGGAGACCGUGGGCAGGCCAUCUGGAAUCAGGAGACCAUGGGCAGGCCAUCUGGAAUCAGGAGACUAUGAGCAGGCCAUCUGGAAUCAGGAGACCGUGAGCAGGCCAUCUGGAAUCAGGAGACCGUGAGCAGGCCAUCUGGAAUCCACCGAGAAGGACAUCUGGAAUCAGGAGACCAUGAGCAGGCCAUCUGGAAUCAGGAGACCGUGAGCAGGCCAUCUGGAAUCAGG